AGUAGGAUAAGCUAUUUAAGCUAGCGGGUUCAUACCCCGAAAAAGAGGUUACCUUUCCUACUA
This 63-nucleotide transfer RNA is filed under the name Amynthas cucullatus. Its description in RNAcentral is "tRNA-Met". Lineage: Eukaryota; Metazoa; Annelida; Clitellata; Crassiclitellata; Megascolecidae. The record is from RNAcentral.